UACGGAGGAGGCAAGCGUUAUCCGGAAUUACUGGGCGUAAAGCGUGCGUAGGUGGUUCGUUAAGUCUGAUGUGAAAGCCCUGGGCUCAACCUGGGAAUGGCAUUGGAUACUGGCGGGCUAGAGUGCGGUAGAGGGCAGUGGAAUUCCCGGUGUAGCAGUGAAAUGCGUAGAGGUCGGGAGGAACAUCUGUGGCGAAGGCGACUGCCUGGACCAGCACUGACACUGAGGCACGAAAGCGUGGGGAGCAAACAGG
Molecule: ribosomal RNA, 253 nt
Filed under: uncultured bacterium
Lineage: Bacteria
Description: partial 16S ribosomal RNA
Rfam family: Bacterial small subunit ribosomal RNA
Source: RNAcentral